UGUUCCCGUUGGUUGUGGUUGACUGGGUGGAGGCCUGGCCUGGUAUGGUGCUCAUCUGAAUGCUGCUUGUACUUGUAUGGCUUCUUCAUGCGCAAGAACCAAGCACACCAAUUGAGGAGGAUGACUCGGACCUGGAUGAAGAGAUGAGAUGAGAUGAAUCAAAACCAGAAAGAGAGGCAAGAUUUUAAAAGAGUCUGCAGGCAGCAGGAAAACCAGCAGGGCCAGUCCAGAGAUGAGCACGCAGGGGAUGAGCAGGUUGAGACCGUAGUAAAGUGUCCUGCGGCGCAUGGUGACCGUGAAUGUCACAUCAGGACAAACUGAGAGGUAGUGUGGACAGAGUUAAAGAAGCUAAAGUCAAGAAAGAAAC
Thunnus maccoyii (southern bluefin tuna) is the source of this 367-nucleotide long non-coding RNA. RefSeq lists it as uncharacterized. The record is from RefSeq and is a predicted model, not a curated record. NCBI's taxonomy places the organism in Eukaryota, Metazoa, Chordata, Actinopteri, Scombriformes, Scombridae. The transcript is spliced from 4 exons.